This 398-nucleotide unclassified non-coding RNA is filed under the name uncultured bacterium. RNAcentral's name for it is "contains 16S-23S intergenic spacer region". The record is from RNAcentral.
UCCCGGUUGGCCCGGGCAGUCUCGUGUGAAAAAUCCAACACACGAUAAGGGUUGCGCUCGUUGCGGGACUUAACCCAACAUCUCACGACACGAGCUGACGACGGCCAUGCAACACCUGUCACUGCGUUCCCCUCGCAACGUGCAAGCUCACACUUGUACGCUAUGAGGGGCACUCUUCUAUUUCUAGAAGAUUCGCAGGAUGUCAAGCCUUGGUAAGGUUCUUCGCGUAUCGUCGAAUUAAACCACAUGCUCCACCGCUUGUGCGGGUCCCCGUCAAUUCCUUUGAGUUUUAAGCUUGCGCUCGUACUCCCCAGGCGGGGUGCUUAACGCGUUAGCUUCACAGCCCAGGGGGUCGAUACCCCGAACUAUUAGCACCCAUCGUUUACGGCGUGGACUAC